RNAcentral lists this long non-coding RNA (1539 nucleotides) under Homo sapiens (human). RNAcentral describes it as "HSALNT0240685". Lineage: Eukaryota; Metazoa; Chordata; Mammalia; Primates; Hominidae. The record is from RNAcentral.
CAGGUUUUCUUCAUGUUGAUCAGACUGGUCCCAAACUCCCAACCUCAGGUUAUCUGCCUGCCUCGGCCUGCCAAAGUGCUGGGAUUGCAGGUGUGAGCCACCGUGCCCGGCCAGGCCAGUUCAUUUCAAUGCAGUGAGUUGGCCACUUCAGUUUUCAUGGAAGAGCUAGCUGAGCCUUGCAACCUUGAGAAAGUCAGUUCGCUUCUCUGAACGUCAGUUUCCUCACAUGUAAAAUGAGGAUGAUCCCUUCUCCAUGUACCUAAUGUGAGGAUGAAAUGAGAAAGCACAGGGAUUCCAGGUAGGCAGAAGGGAGGAAAGGGCAAUGGGCUAUAUCCCGGAAAGGUUAUGCCUUUUUGAUUUUCAGAAGGGACAUCUACCCUGGGGACUUAUCUGGACCUUGGCCUGAGCUAUGUCGCAUGCCCAUCCUUUGCUGCAAAGACAGCUGGGAAAUGGAGACUAUUUUAGCUGCACACAGUGCCCCCUUGAUAAGAAUCAGGGUUUUUUGUUUGUUUGUUUUAUUUUUAAGAGACAGGGUCUUGCUCUGUUGCCCAGGCUGGAGUGCAGUGGCAUGAUCACAGCUCACUGCAGCCUCGAACUCCUGGGUUCAGGUGAUCCUCCUGCGUCAGCCUCAUGCGUAAUUGGGAUUACAGACUACAGGUACACACCACAAUGCCUGGCUAGUUUUUUUUUUUUUUUGUAAAUGAUUUGUAAAGAUGGAGUCUGGCUAUGUUGGCCAGGCUGGCCUUGAACUCAUGGUCUCUAGCAAUCCUUCCACCUUGGCCUCCUAAGGUUCUGGGAUUACAGGUGUGAGCCACUGCACCUGGCAUAAAACUCAGGGUUCUGACAGUAGGAAAGAAAAAGAUGGAUAAGGCAUUGGGUACAUCACCACAGGGGGCUGCCACAGCUAGGAACAAGUCUCCCCAGACUAACCUUGCCUCUUCUUGGGUAGGCUUGGUCAGGGAGGUGGCAGGAAAGCUCUGAGUGUCCGGGUUUCAUUUCAGCAAGACCAGAGGGCAAAUGCAGGCUUCGGUGAUGUGAGCGGGCUUGGUGGAGCAGUUAUCCCCAGGGAGUAGCAGACGUGGUCCUGUCCAUCUGGAGGAAGCUCUCUAUCUGCCAUCUGCCAUGGCCAACAUUUCUAUGUCAGAAUCUACAAAACCAGUGGAGACAGAGAUAGACCUAUCAAAAAGGUAUGGUGGCACGGCCCUAUAGUCCCAGCUACUUGGGAGGCUGAGGCGGGAGGAUCACUUGAGCCCAAGAAUUUGAGACCAGCCUGGGAAACAUAGUGAGACCUUGUCUCAAAAAGAAAAAAGAAAAAAAAGUGUCAAUUUUAAAACAGUUGCUCAAAAAUAAAUGUCAUUAAAGUCAUACCAAAAAAAAUGUAAAACAUGUACACAACCUCAUCCCAGAAAGUCUGUCACUGGGCUUAAAAGAGGACAGUCAGCGGGUACAGUGGCUCACACCUGUAAUCAAGCACUUUGGGAGGCUGAGGUGGGCAGAUUACCUGAGGUCAGGAUUUUGAGACUAGCCUGCCCAACAUGG